GUUGUGGCUCAGCGGUAGAGCGCUCCUUUAGCACGUGGGAGGCCCUGGGUUCAAUCUUCAUCACAACA
Molecule: transfer RNA, 68 nt
Filed under: Marmota monax (woodchuck)
Lineage: Eukaryota; Metazoa; Chordata; Mammalia; Rodentia; Sciuridae
Description: tRNA.Ala
Source: RNAcentral